UACGGGGGGGGUAAGCGUUGUUCGGAAUUACUGGGCGUAAAGGGCUCGUAGGCGGCCAACUAAGUCAGACGUGAAAUCCCUCAGCUUAACUGGGGAACUGCGUCUGGUACUGGAUGGCUUGGAUUCGGGAGAGGAAUGCGGAAUUCCAGGUGUAGCGGUGAAAUGCGUAGAUAUCUGGAGGAACACCGGUGGCGAAGGCGGCAUUCUGGACCGACAUUGACGCUGAGGAGCGAAAGCCAGGGGAGCAAACGGG
Molecule: ribosomal RNA, 253 nt
Filed under: uncultured bacterium
Lineage: Bacteria
Description: partial 16S ribosomal RNA
Rfam family: Bacterial small subunit ribosomal RNA
Source: RNAcentral